RNAcentral lists this unclassified non-coding RNA (253 nucleotides) under uncultured Myxococcales bacterium. RNAcentral describes it as "contains 16S-23S intergenic spacer region". It matches the Rfam family "Bacterial small subunit ribosomal RNA", at positions 524 to 776 of the family's 1533-position model. The record is from RNAcentral. Lineage: Bacteria; Pseudomonadati; Myxococcota; Myxococcia; Myxococcales.
UACAGAGGGUGCAAGCGUUGUUCGGAAUCACUGGGCGUAAAGCGCGUGUAGGCGGCACGAUAAGUCGGAUGUGAAAUCCCUCGGCUCAACCGAGGACGUGCAUCCGAUACUGUCGCGCUAGAGUGUCGGAGGGGGUGGUGGAAUUCUCGGUGUAGAGGUGAAAUUCGUAGAUAUCGGGAGGAACACCUGUGGCGAAGGCGACCACCUGGACGAUAACUGACGCUGAGACGCGAAAGCGUGGGUAGCAAACAGG